CCCGCCCCAUCCGCUUGGAAACUCCAGAGUGACAGCCCAGUGAACUUUAAGAGGUGUCUUCACUGCUGGGAGGUUAAUGAUUUGCAAGGUGACGCAGGAAGGGCUAAAGGCCUUUCCAAGGUUCACUGGCUGCGGAAUAUGUGGAAGUGACAGCAGCAUCCUGCACCUCACCCCCCCCCUUCCGUGACAUUUGCAUCUGCACCUGAACAUCCAGAGCCGUUCUAGGCCUAUAGCAGUGAAGAUGAUAGAGAUCACAGAAAUCCAGAGGAUUGGUGUGGGACUUGUGGGCUUCGGGGUGUUUUUCCUCCUUUUCGGUAUGCUAUUGUACAUGGAUUCGGUGCUUCUGGCCUUUGGAAAUAUCCUGUUCCUGUCUGGUCUGGCCAUUAUCAUUGGACUAAGAAGAACCUUUGGUUUCUUCUUCCAGAGGCAGAAGCUUAAGGGAACCAGUUUCUUUUUGGGGGGCAUAAUUAUCGUCCUGCUUCGGUGGCCUGUCCUAGGCAUGCUUCUGGAGACCUAUGGCUUCAUUAACCUCUUCAGGAGUUUUUUCCCAAUUGCCUUUGGGUUUCUGGGAUCAUUGGUGAACAUCCCAUUUUUGAGCAAGGUAAGAAAAAAUUUCGUGUGUCAUGUGCUCUCAGGGGAGCAUGAUUCUAUCUGGCUGGUUUGGUUCCCUUAAGCUUUACAACAGGGUUGGGGAACCUGCAGGCUUCCAGGUACAACAUACAACUCCCAUUGUCCCCUGAGUGGCUGGGGCUGAUGGGAACUGGAGUCCAACAAUAGGACUCCACUUCCAUUUGUGCCAUGAUCUGUAGGCACAGGUCUGUGAUUUAAAAAAAACCAAAAAACCUCACUGUAUACUGUUGAACUGGAACAAACAUCAGUCAAGUCCUCUGAAGGCUGAUGUUUGUUCUGAUUCAGUGGUAAACAGUGAGUUUUCGCAGGGAAAGAGGUGGGACCAAAACAACAACAACAACAACCCAUGCCUGGAAAUAAUAGAAUCAUAGAAUUGUAGAGUUAUAUAAUCCUUCAGAGAAAUGUGAUUGGUUACAAAUGACUUCUUGUUGCAGCUGUUCCAGAAACUUGGAGACACUACCUCUAUGGUAUAGCCUAGAGAAGUGGCUUCCUGCCACAGACAACUUCCCCUCCUACAAGCAAAUAGACCUGUUUUAUAGACUACUGUGUUGUUUUCACAGCGAUGUGCCAUUGAGACCUCCUGCCCAGUUCAUACCUCUGAAGACCCCUGUGUGAUCACCUGCAGGAGUGUGCAAGGUUAUUAGCAGGUUCAUAUCCCAGUAGGAAUUGCCUAGAGGUGCUGUUUAUAAGAGCAAUUACAACUGAACCGCUGGUUCAUAGAGAUGGUCAUGCUGGAGCUAGACAAUGGCUAUGGACAAUGGCUGAAUGAGCAUCGGUACCUGGGCACAUCCGUGUUCACAAGAUUUCUUAGCAACAAACCAACAUUUAGGACUUGUCAAUUUGCUCCAAGGAAGACACAUCCCUUGGGGUCUUCACCUUCCAAACAGCUGCAGUAGAGUGAGUAAGCAAAGUACCCAGUUUCUUUUGUUUUGUUGACAUGCUGUACCCACUGAUAUUUUUCAUCCCUUGGGAUGCCUGUCAUAAUGGAUCAGAAAUUUGAAAUUGAAGGGAUUAAAAACACAUAAAUUGAAAGGCAUAAUUUGAACACUAUGACACUAGAACAAUUUGUGUUAUCUCACUAGCCAAAUUUCAACAAUAGGAAGGAGGAAAAUGAAUAUAAGGGUGAGAAGUGUUGUUCUGAGUUUUCUGUCAAUUUCAAAAUCCCAGUAAAGAAAAUGGUUGGGGGAGGGGAUGAGUUCGCAAAAUAACUUGCAGUUCAAAAAGACACAUACACAGCUUGUACUUUGGAGCAAUGUCUAUUUAACAGAACGUGAACGCUAUUUGAUUCCACCAUGUGCAUAUUUUCUAUUUUUUUAUUUAACAAAACAUAAAACAUGUUUUAAUGAUAUCAAAUAAAUCAUGUUUCUCAAGA
Podarcis raffonei (Aeolian wall lizard) is the source of this 2002-nucleotide RNA transcript. It is a transcript of the gene named golgi transport 1A, with no coding region annotated. The transcript has 5 exons. Lineage: Eukaryota; Metazoa; Chordata; Lepidosauria; Squamata; Lacertidae. The record is from RefSeq and is a predicted model, not a curated record.